This 205-nucleotide long non-coding RNA is filed under the name Rosa chinensis. RNAcentral's name for it is "sRNA RchiOBHm_Chr1g0334321". Lineage: Eukaryota; Viridiplantae; Streptophyta; Magnoliopsida; Rosales; Rosaceae. The record is from RNAcentral.
UAUUCUCAUGCAUAAAAGACUAUUGCAUAUGGCCUGCCACUAGACCUGUAGUCUAAGUCCGUCUUGUGCAGUUUAUGUGUUAUGCCGGUUCAUUCUUCUUCUAGUUAAAACUCAUCUGGAAAAGCAGAUGCUCAGUUCAUCCACCACCACCUUUUGGUUGGUCUGAAGACCUUGAACUUGCUCUUGAAGCCAAGUUCAACAUGGG